AACGAACGCUGGCGGCAUGCCUAACACAUGCAAGUCGAACGAGACCUUCGGGUCUAGUGGCGCACGGGUGCGUAACGCGUGGGAACCUGCCCUUAGGUUCGGAAUAACUCCCCGAAAGGGGUGCUAAUACCGGAUAAUGUCUUCGGACCAAAGAUUUAUCGCCUUUGGAUGGGCCCGCGUUGGAUUAGCUAGUUGGUAGGGUAAAAGCCUACCAAGGCGACGAUCCAUAGCUGGUCUGAGAGGAUGAUCAGCCACACUGGGACUGAGACACGGCCCAGACUCCUACGCGAGGCAGCCGUGGGGAAUAUUGGACAAUGGGCGAAAGCCUGAUCCAGCAAUGCCGCGUGAGUGAUGAAGGCCUUAGGGUUGUAAAGCUCUUUUACCCGGGAUGAUACUGACAGUACCGGGAGAAUAAGCUCCGGCUAACUCCGUG
RNAcentral lists this ribosomal RNA (433 nucleotides) under uncultured bacterium. RNAcentral describes it as "partial 16S ribosomal RNA". It matches the Rfam family "Bacterial small subunit ribosomal RNA", at positions 29 to 507 of the family's 1533-position model. The record is from RNAcentral.